RNAcentral lists this unclassified non-coding RNA (461 nucleotides) under Hevea brasiliensis (rubber tree). The record is from RNAcentral. Lineage: Eukaryota; Viridiplantae; Streptophyta; Magnoliopsida; Malpighiales; Euphorbiaceae.
AGGUAAUAUGCAUUUUUUGGUUUCUGAUUCUUUUUACUUCACAGUUCACCCAGGCAUUUCUCGUCUAAAUUUUCAAAAUAUUGUUUGUUGAAAAUGAUAACCAUGAUUGAUUUUUGGAAGGUGAGGGAGAUUCUUGAGAAUAGCAUUUUAUGUUUUCACAGUUCUUUCUGCACACAUAGUUCUAUGUUUAUCCAAAUGUGGUGUGAAGAAAGCAGAUGACACAAAUUAUAGCUGUCUUUUAUGUUGAUGGUCUUCACUGUUUCAUAUGCAAGUCAAAAGGACAGAAUGUAAAUACUUUGUGGGCACUAUUGUUCAUUGUGAUCUCUUAAGUCAAAACUUUGUAAUUGGAUGGCACAUGCUCUUGCUACCAAUCUGAUUAGCUUUAUCUUAUGAAAGUUUCAAUUUAUAAAUCUGCAAAACAUUAUGCAUAAAUUAGGCAUCAAACAGAGUAAUGGUGCUAG